GGAUACAGAUCAGUGGUAGAGUGUUUGCCUAGCAUGCAUGAGGUCCUGGGUUCCAUCCCCAGCAUCCU
This 68-nucleotide transfer RNA is filed under the name Marmota monax (woodchuck). RNAcentral describes it as "tRNA.Ala". The record is from RNAcentral. Lineage: Eukaryota; Metazoa; Chordata; Mammalia; Rodentia; Sciuridae.